UUGCUGGGCUCACUGCAGCUCAGACGCAGCAAAAGAGCCUAGAACCUGGGUCCUAGUUUGCACCUUGAAUAUGAGGCAAGUGGCAAGAGUGAUCGUGUUCCUGACCCUGAGUACUUUGAGCCUUGCUAAGACCACCCAGCCCAUCUCCAUGGACUCAUAUGAAGGACAAGAAGUGAACAUAACCUGUAGCCACAACAACAUUGCUACUAGUGAUUAUAUCAUGUGGUACCAACAGUUUCCCAACCAAGGACCGCGAUUUAUUAUUCAAGGAUACAAGGCAAACAUUGCAAAUGAAGUGGCUUCCUUGUUUAUCCCCGCUGACAGAAAGUCCAGCACUCUGAGCCUGCCCCGGGUUGCCCUGAGCGACACUGCUGUAUACUACUGCCUCUGUGAUGGCCAGAAGCUGCUCUUUGGAAGGGGGACCAUGUUAAAGGUGAAUCUUAAUAUCCAGAACCCUGACCCUGCCGUGUACCAGCUGAGAGGCUCUAAAUCCAAUGACACCUCUGUCUGCCUAUUCACUGAUUUUGAUUCUGUAAUGAAUGUGUCACAAAGCAAGGAUUCUGACGUGCAUAUCACAGACAAAACUGUGCUAGACAUGAGGUCUAUGGACUUUAAGAGCAACGGUGCUGUGGCCUGGAGUAACAAAUCCGAUUUUGCAUGUACAAACGCCUUCAAGGACAGCAUUAUUCCAGCAGAUACCUUCUUCCCCGGCACAGAAAGUCUCUGUGAUGCCAACCUGGUUGAGAAAAGCUUUGAAACAGAUAUGAACCUAAACUUUCAAAACCUGUCAGUGAUCGGGUUCCGAAUCCUCCUCCUGAAAGUGGCCGGGUUUAAUCUGCUCAUGACGCUGCGGCUGUGGUCCAGCUGAGGUCUGCAAGAUUGUAAGACAGCCUGUGCUCCCUCGUUCCUUCCUCUGCAUCGCCCCUCCUCUCCCUCUCCAAGCAGAGGGAACUCUCCCACCCCCAUGGAGGAGAAAGCUGCUACCACCUCUGUGCCCCCCCGGCAAUGCCACCAACUGGAUCCUACCCAAAUUUGUGAUUAAGAUUGCCGAAGAGCUACCAAACACUGCUGCCACCCACUCUGUUCCCUUAUUGCUGCUUGUCACUGCCUGACAUUCACGGCAGAGGCAAGGCUGCUGCAGCCUCCCCUGGCUGUGCACAGUCCCUCCCGCUCCCCAGAGGCUGCCUGACCAUCCCACAGAUGAUGGAUCCUCAGUGAGUUCUCUUGGGCUCUAGGUCCUGGAGAAUGUUGUGAGGGGUUUAUAUUUUUUAAAUAGUGUUCAUAAAGAAAUACAUACUAUUCUUCUCAAGACAUGGGGGGAAAUUAUCUCAUUAUUGAGGCCCUGCUAUGCUGUGUGUCUGGGUGUGUUGUAUAUCCUGCUGCCAAUGGCUUCAUUAAAAUGGUUUGGAAGAGCAGA
Molecule: non-coding RNA, 1417 nt
Organism: Rhinopithecus roxellana (golden snub-nosed monkey)
Lineage: Eukaryota; Metazoa; Chordata; Mammalia; Primates; Cercopithecidae
Source: the annotation of a RefSeq genome assembly